AGCGCAUACGGUGGAUGCCUUGGCAGUUAGAGGCGAUGAAGGACGUAGGAGCCUGCGAUAAGCUUCGGGGAGUUGGCAAACAAACUUUGAUCCGGAGAUUUCCGAAUGGGGAAACCCACCUGCUAUAAAGCGGGUAUCAUGCACUGAAUACAUAGGUGUAUGAGGCGAACCUGGGGAACUGAAACAUCUAAGUACCCAGAGGAAAAGAAAUCAAUUGAGAUUCCCUAAGUAGCGGCGAGCGAACGGGGAUUAGCCCUUAAGUUUUUAACGUUUUAGUGGAAGGUUCUGGAAAGUUCCGCGAUACAGGGUGAUAGCCCCGUACACGAAAAGACGUUCUAAGUGAAAUCGAGUAGGUCGGGACACGAGUUAUCUUGACUGAACAUGGGGGGACCAUCCUCAAAGGCUAAAUACUACUAACUGACCGAUAGUGAACCAGUACCGUGAGGGAAAGGCGAAAAGAACCCCGGAGAGGGGAGUGAAAUAGAUCCUGAAACCGUAUGCGUACAAGCAGUAGGAGCAGACUUGUUCUGUGACUGCGUACCUUUUGUAUAAUGGGUCAGCGACUUACUUUUAGUAGCAAGGUUAACCAUUUAGGGGAGCCGUAGAGAAAUCGAGUCUUAAUAGGGCGUUUAGUUGCUAGGAGUAGACCCGAAACCGGGCGAUCUAUCCAUGGGCAGGUUGAAGGUUGAGUAACAUCAACUGGAGGACCGAACUCACGUAUGUUGAAAAAUGCGGAGAUGACUUGUGGAUCGGAGUGAAAGGCUAAUCAAGCCCGGAGAUAGCUGGUUCUCCUCGAAAGCUAUUUAGGUAGCGCCUCGUGUCUCACCAUUGGGGGUAGAGCACUGUUUCGGCUAGGGGGUCAUCCCGACUUACCAACCCGAUGCAAACUCCGAAUACCAAUGAGUGCAAUCACGGGAGACACACGGCGGGUGCUAACGUCCGUCGUGGAAAGGGAAACAACCCAGACCGUCAGCUAAGGUCCCAAAGUUAUAGUUAAGUGGGAAACGAUGUGGGAAGGUUUAGACAGCUAGGAGGUUGGCUUAGAAGCAGCCAUCCUUUAAAGAAAGCGUAAUAGCUCACUAGUCGAGUCGGCCUGCGCGGAAGAUAUAACGGGGCUAAACUGGUAACCGAAGCUGUGGAUGCGUGUUUACACGCAUGGUAGAGGAGCGUUCUGUAAGCCGUUGAAGGUAGAUUGAGAAGUCUGCUGGAGGUAUCAGAAGUGCGAAUGCUGACAUGAGUAACGAUAAAGGGGGUGAAAAACCCCCUCGCCGAAAGACCAAGGUUUCCUAUCCCAUGCUAAUCAGGGUAGGGUUAGUCGGCCCCUAAGGCGAGGCAGAAAUGCGUAGUCGAUGGAAAAAAGGUUAAUAUUCCUUUACUUCUUAUUAUUGCGAUGGAGGGACGGAGUAGGCUAGAUCAGACGGGCGUUGGUUGUCCCGAUCUAAGCGUGUAGGGGGUUCUCUUAGGUAAAUCCGGGAGAACAUUACUCUGAGACGUGAUGGCGAGGCUCUCUUUUGAGCCGAGUGGUCGAUGCCAUGCUUCCAAGAAAAGCUUCUAAGCUUCAGGUAAUAAGAAACCGUACUCCAAACCGACACAGGUGGUCAGGUAGAGAAUACCAAGGCGCUUGAGAGAACUCGGGUGAAGGAACUAGGCAAAAUGGUACCGUAACUUCGGGAGAAGGUACGCCGGCUUUGGUGAUGGGACUUGCUCCCUAAGCUGAGGCUGGUCGAAGUGACCAGGUGGCUGCGACUGUUUAUUAAAAACAUAGCACUCUGCAAACACGUAAGUGGACGUAUAGGGUGUGACGCCUGCCCGGUGCCGGAAGGUUAAUUGAUGGGGUUAUCUUCGGAGAAGCUCUUGAUCGAAGCCCCGGUAAACGGCGGCCGUAACUAUAACGGUCCUAAGGUAGCGAAAUUCCUUGUCGGGUAAGUUCCGACCUGCACGAAUGGCGUAACGAUGGCCACACUGUCUCCACCCGAGACUCAGUGAAAUUGAAAUUGCGGUUAAGAUGCCGUAUACCCGCGGCUAGACGGAAAGACCCCGUGAACCUUUACUAUAGCUUCACACUGGACUCUGACUUUACUUGUGUAGGAUAGCUGGGAGGCUUUGAAGCGAUGGCGCUAGCUGUUGUGGAGCCAACCUUGAAAUACCAGCCUGGUAACGUUGGGGUUCUAACCUAGGUCCAUUAUCUGGAUUGGGGACAGUGUGUGGUGGGUAGUUUGACUGGGGCGGUCUCCUCCCAAAGAGUAACGGAGGAGCACGAAGGUGCGCUAAGC
Molecule: ribosomal RNA, 2273 nt
Filed under: seawater metagenome
Description: bacterial LSU rRNA
Rfam family: Bacterial large subunit ribosomal RNA
Source: RNAcentral